AUGCGCAGCAGCACGCCCGCCUGGCCCGCGUGCCUUGCACUGCCUCGUCUCGCAUGCCCCAUUUUCUCUUCCUGGCCCGCGCUUUUUCCAUGGCCCCGAGCCGAGCAACGCUCGAGCUCGAGUGCCCCGCAGCCCUCUGCUUGCCCGCGCUCACCCGCACAUGCGUGCGUGCCCGCGCACGUACAGCAGCUCUCCCGCAAGCCGCGCCGUGCCCACACAGCUCCUGUCGCCGCUCCUCGCCAUGUUGUGCCGCGCCCGAGUCGAGCAUGGGCUCCUGCUCGAGCGUUUGCACGCGCGCGACCGAGACAGGUCGCAUCUUGUUUCAUUGUUACUUUGGGGAGAAAGAAACAGUUGUUAGCCAAGAUGUGGGUGUUCAACAUAUUGGGAUCUUUCUGGGAUCUUCUGAUCAAGAUACGCGCGUUCAAGAUGUUUGGAUCUUUCAAGGAUCUAAAGAUGCUGGCAUUCAUCGGCGGCGUUACGAGUCUGUUUCUUGUGGGUAACAGCGUCUCGGAUCCAUCACCAGUGAUUGAGGCACUCCGCAGCCUCAACGCAACAUCCAUAACGUGCGACGCCAAACAAGUGGCUCAUCACUACAAGAACCUGGCCUUCGAUGUUACUUUUCUCUCCAUCGCAAUGGCCCUCGCAGCUUGUAUUGUUUAUCUUGUCAAGAUCAUCGUUGAUGCCGGUGCCCAUGAAGAAGAGCAGGAGCUACGCGAGGCCGAUCCCACCACUGCCGCGCAGGCUGCCAUUGAUCGCACCCUCGCGGCUAAUGCUUCUAAGGCCGCCUCGGAUGCCGAAGCAGAGGCUGUCCAGGCCGAAGCGGACGCCAAGCGCGUCGCCGCGGAGAUGUGCGCCGCCUUCGACAACGCCCUCAAGGUCAAAGAGAUCGCCAGAUCCGACGCCAAUCAGGCAAUCGAAGCUGCCCAAGCCGCCGAUGAGAAUUUGGCCCAAGCCAAGGCCAACCCUGUCGACGACGUCGUUGCCGCGCAGAAGAGGAUCGAGGACUUGGAGAUGGCUGUCGACGAGGCGGCUAAGGCGGCAACUCAAGCCGAGGAGACAGCUGCAAAGGCGGACAAGGAGCUCGACUUCAUCGACAAGGAUCUCAAGGAAGCAAACGACGAGGUGAAGCGGAAGACCGAUGCGACUCGGGCUGCCAAGAAACACGCCGAGGCUGCAAAGAAGACCGCCGACGCCGCCAAACUCAAGACCGGUAUGGCCCGUUUCCCUCUCUGGAAGAGGUUGAUUUUGCCUGUUUCAGUUUGCCAUCAUAGUAUGCUUGUACGCUUGUGUUGUCGCAAUCUUUUCUUUCACGGAGCUGCUUGA
This 1323-nucleotide ribosomal RNA is filed under the name Triticum aestivum (bread wheat). RNAcentral describes it as "partial small subunit ribosomal RNA". Lineage: Eukaryota; Viridiplantae; Streptophyta; Magnoliopsida; Poales; Poaceae. The record is from RNAcentral.